RNAcentral lists this transfer RNA (80 nucleotides) under Bos taurus (domestic cattle). It matches the Rfam family "tRNA". Rfam says of the family: Transfer RNA (tRNA) molecules are approximately 80 nucleotides in length. Their secondary structure includes four short double-helical elements and three loops (D, anti-codon, and T loops). Further hydrogen bonds mediate the characteristic L-shaped molecular structure. tRNAs have two regions of fundamental functional importance: the anti-codon, which is responsible for specific mRNA codon recognition, and the 3' end, to which the tRNAs corresponding amino acid is attached (by aminoacyl-tRNA synthetases). tRNAs cope with the degeneracy of the genetic code in two manners: having more than one tRNA (with a specific anti-codon) for a particular amino acid; and 'wobble' base-pairing, i.e. permitting non-standard base-pairing at the 3rd anti-codon position. Lineage: Eukaryota; Metazoa; Chordata; Mammalia; Artiodactyla; Bovidae. RNAcentral also lists the same sequence under 4 other names. The record is from Rfam by way of RNAcentral.
UCCCUAGUGGCUCAGUGGUAAAGAAUCUGCCUGCAAUGCAGAAGCUGCAGGAGACACAGGUUCAAUCCCUGAGUCGGGAA